Molecule: ribosomal RNA, 468 nt
Filed under: uncultured bacterium
Lineage: Bacteria
Description: partial 16S ribosomal RNA
Rfam family: Bacterial small subunit ribosomal RNA
Source: RNAcentral
GACGAACGCUGGCGGCGUGCUUAACACAUGCAAGUCGAACGGAAAGGCCCUGCUUUUGUGGGGUGCUCGAGUGGCGAACGGGUGAGUAACACGUGAGUAACCUGCCCUUGACUUUGGGAUAACUUCAGGAAACUGGGGCUAAUACCGGAUAGGAGCUCCUGCUGCAUGGUGGGGGUUGGAAAGUUUCGGCGGUUGGGGAUGGACUCGCGGCUUAUCAGCUUGUUGGUGGGGUAGUGGCUUACCAAGGCUUUGACGGGUAGCCGGCCUGAGUGGGUGACCGGCCACAUUGGGACUGAGAUACGGCCCAGACUCCUACAGGAGGCAGCAGUGGGGAAUAUUGUACAAUGGGCGGAAGCCUGAUGCAGCAACGCCGCGUGCGGGAUGACGGCCUUCGGGUUGUAAACCGCUUUCGCCUGUGACGAAGCGUGAGUGACGGUAAUGGGUAAAGAAGCACCGGCUAACUACGUG